CCUGAAUGCAAAAUAUGGCACAUCACACGUGAAAUACCAAACAACUACUGGAUGGUAAAAUCAACUAUAGGCUAUAGCUUUGCCGGUACCUUGACUGUAGCUUUUAAUCUUUUUUAUGUAUGUAAAGAAUCUCUGUCAGCGUCGCAUGCUGGCAUGUUUCGGAGUAAUUCUACUGUCACAGUAUCAGUAUGAGGAAGAGAUGCAGCAACAUCAACUUCAUCAGCGGCAGCAGGAGAGCUCUUAAUUCCUUCGCUGUUACGGGAACCCAAAACCAUCCGUUUUAUCUUUUACUGCUGAUACUACUUGUCCCUGUCGCCUUUAUCCCCGCUACUGCUUGCUCCACCGGCAAUUGCCAGCUCCUGGACUCUUGUACCUCUGCAACUGAUUGUGGGCCUGGCUUAUAUUGUGGAAACUGUCCAGCAGUGGGAAAGACUCAACCUUUCUGCACCAGAGGACAAGCUACCAUCCCUACUUCAAUUAUCAAUGGGCUGCCAUUUAAUAAAUACACAUGGCUGGUGACCCACAAUUCAUUCUCAAUUGUGGAUGCCCCAUCUUUAACGGGUGCUCAAAGGAUCACAUUUUACAAUCAAGAGGAUACAGUUACUAAUCAACUCAGAAAUGGAGUGAGGGGAUUGAUGCUGGACAUGUACGAUUUCGAGGAUGACAUCUGGCUCUGCCACUCGUUUCGUGGCCAGUGUUAUAACUUCACUGCCUUUGAGCCCGCGAUUGACACCUUAAAGGAAGUGGAAGCAUUCUUGAAUGAGAACCCAACUGAAAUCGUUACCAUCAUAAUUGAGGACUAUGUCCAUGCCCCCAAAGGCUUGACAAAGGUAUUCUCGAAUGCUGCGUUGGACAAAUAUUGGUUUCCGCUUUCCAAGAUGCCCAAGAAGGGUGAGGACUGGCCCACUGUUACUGACAUGAUAAAAGACAAUCACCGGUUGCUAGUUUUCACUUCUGAUUCCUCCAAAGAAGCUACUGAAGGAAUUGCUUAUCAGUGGAAGCACAUGGUGGAAAAUGAAGCUGGAGAUCCUGGUGUGGUGCCUGGUUCAUGCCCAAACAGAAAGGAAUCAAAGCCACUCAACUCGAAAAGUGCAUCCCUUUUUCUACAAAAUUACUUCCCUACUAUUCCAGACCAAAAUCAGGCUUGUAAAGAGCAUUCAGUUGCCCUUAUUGAUAUGAUUAACACCUGUUACAAAGCAGCCGGCAAUGUCAUACCAAAUUUUUUGGCUGUCAACUUUUACAUGAGGAGUGAUGGCGGAGGUGUUUUCGAUGCUGUGGAUAGGAUGAAUGGCCAAGCAUUAUGUGGAUGCACUGUUAUCACUGCUUGUCAGGCAGGGGCAUCUUUUGGAAGUUGCAAGAAUGUUCCCGCCUCUAAUACAACUCCAGCUACUACCAGUCCUGCUGGAAGUUUUUCUGGGUCUGUGCAGUUAACAGGAGCUGUUGCAGCAAUCCAGCCUUCCCGUGUUACGUCUACGUGCAUCUGUGCCAUGUCCAUCUUGUUGUUGCUAUUAUGACCAGACAGAACAUUUGUUUGGUGUAUUAGCUAAUGCAGGGGCAUUGGCUUCUACUUUACUAGCUUGUGAAGCCUUUGACUUAAAAUAGGAGUAUACUGCAAGUUGUAUUAUAGAGGGGAAGACCACAGGAACUCUUUCAAGAAAAUAUUUUAAAGAACCAAGGAGUCAGCUUUAGAAAGAACAGCAGAGAAUCCUGGCUUUUGUUUGGGGCAGUCCCGAUGUAGUUGCAGAAUUUGAUAGGACGUGAAUUUAAUGGAACCUCUUAUCUGCUGAGUUCUUUUCCAGUGAUAGGAGGAUUUCCGCUGUCUAUAGAUCUCCUAGCCUGCAACCAUUUUCUCAGCUUGGGUGAUUAUUUUGCGCGUUUUUUCUUAUUAUUCUUCUUCUUCUUUUUUCCCCUCUUUAAUACGGUGGUGCAUUUCAACAUAAUCACUUCGCUUCGGGCAUGCUUGUCGUAAAACAUGGAGGAUUGCCUGCA
RNA transcript from Coffea eugenioides, 1989 nucleotides. It is a transcript of the gene named PI-PLC X domain-containing protein At5g67130, with no coding region annotated. The transcript has 9 exons. NCBI's taxonomy places the organism in Eukaryota, Viridiplantae, Streptophyta, Magnoliopsida, Gentianales, Rubiaceae. The record is from RefSeq and is a predicted model, not a curated record.